UUCCUCGACCAAUUUUAUUCUGUUUUCGACCAUUUUUCUUCUAGGAAAUUUUUCUUCCUUCGAGCAAUUUUCCUUCUUGGAAAGAUCUUCACUUUUUGGCUUCGUAUUUCUCAAUUUGUGAUUGAUUGAUUGAUUCACUGCUAUCUUCUUCAAUCCCAUCUCCUUAAUUGCUCGCUUCCAGCCCUUAGUGAUGUGAUAGAAACGCUAGAGUUUGCUUCCAGAAUCUCAUGAUUGAAUAAGCAGGAUGAAAAACCCAUGGUGAAGAUGGUAUACCUGUUACUUGAUCAUGUGGAUCUUAUCAGAGAAAGGGACGAAGGCUCUAUGGUUCUGCAGUUUCUUUUCAGUUUGUAUUCUGUUCUGAAGAUGCCUCAGCUGGAUCUAAUAUUUAUCAGCGGAUUGCCGCCAAAUGUAUAUUACUCAAACUUUUUCUGAUAUAAUCUAAACGCAUGUGUCCGUUUUGCAGCACAGUACACUGUUCGUUCUUUUGGUAUCGGACGUAACGAGAAGAUUGCUUGCUACGUGACUGUCAGGGGAGACAAGGCAAUGCAACUCAUGGAGAGUGGGCAGAAAGUUAAAGAAUACGAACUUUUGAGAAGGAACUUUAGCGACACUGAUUGCUUCGGUUUUGGUAUUCAAGAGCAUAUUUAUUUGGGUAUCAAGUAAGUCUCAAUCUUUCUAACACAGAUAUAGAACAACAUGGUAAACUGUUGUUACUGAGAAUAACGAUGUUGUUGGCUAUCCUAUACGGAUUUUAUGUAAGUAGUACUCUGCUUAAUCAACUUAUCUGAGAAUAAGGCAUUGUAUUUGUUGGAUCAUUUGAAGAUUCAUCUUGAUUUCAAUUCUGUUCUUCAAA
Eutrema salsugineum is the source of this 853-nucleotide long non-coding RNA. RefSeq lists it as uncharacterized. The transcript is spliced from 2 exons. Lineage: Eukaryota; Viridiplantae; Streptophyta; Magnoliopsida; Brassicales; Brassicaceae. The record is from RefSeq and is a predicted model, not a curated record.